GUGUCAGCAGCCGCGGUAAGACAGAGGUGCCAAGCGUUAGGCGGAAUCACUGGGCUUAAAGCGCGUGUAGGCGGGUCGUUAAGUACCUUGUGAAAUCCCACGGCUCAACCGUGGAACUGCUCGGUAUACUGGCGAUCUUGGGCCACUUAGGGGCUAGCGGAACAAAUGGUGGAGCGGUGAAAUGCGUAGAUAUCAUUUGGAACGCCAAUGGUGAAAACAGCUCGCUGGGGGUUUGCUGACGCUGAGACACGAAAGCCAGGGGAGCAAACGGGAUUAGAUACCCCGGUAGUCC
RNAcentral lists this ribosomal RNA (292 nucleotides) under uncultured bacterium. RNAcentral describes it as "partial 16S ribosomal RNA". It matches the Rfam family "Bacterial small subunit ribosomal RNA", at positions 505 to 796 of the family's 1533-position model. The record is from RNAcentral.